GACGAACGCUGGCGGCGUGCCUAAUACAUGCAAGUUGAGCGCUGAAGGUUGGUACUUGUACCAACUGGAUGAGCAGCGAACGGGUGAGUAACGCGUGGGGAAUCUGCCUUUGAGCGGGGGACAACAUUUGGAAACGAAUGCUAAUACCGCAUAAAAACUUUAAACACAAGUUUUAAGUUUGAAAGAUGCAAUUGCAUCACUCAAAGAUGAUCCCGCGUUGUAUUAGCUAGUUGGUGAGGUAAAGGCUCACCAAGGCGAUGAUACAUAGCCGACCUGAGAGGGUGAUCGGCCACAUUGGGACUGAGACACGGCCCAAACUCCUACGGGGGGCAGCAGUAGGGAAUCUUCGGCAAUGGACGAAAGUCUGAACGAGCAACGCCGCGUGAGUGAAGAAGGGUUUCGGAUCGUAAAACUCUGUUGGUAGAGAAGAACGUUGGUGAGAGUGGAAAGCUCAUCAAGUGACGGUAACUACCCAGAAAGGGACGGCUAACUACGUG
This 497-nucleotide ribosomal RNA is filed under the name uncultured bacterium. RNAcentral's name for it is "partial 16S ribosomal RNA". It matches the Rfam family "Bacterial small subunit ribosomal RNA", at positions 28 to 507 of the family's 1533-position model. The record is from RNAcentral.